UACGUAGGGCGCGAGCGUUGUCCGGAAUUAUUGGGCGUAAAGAGCUCGUAGGCGGCCGGUUGCGUCUGCUGUGAAAUCCCGGGGCUUAACCCCGGGCGUGCAGUGGAUACGGGCCGGCUGGAGGCAGGCAGGGGAGAAUGGAAUUCCCGGUGUAGCGGUGAAAUGCGCAGAUAUCGGGAGGAACACCGGUGGCGAAGGCGGUUCUCUGAGCCUGUACUGACGCUGAGGAGCGAAAGCGUGGGGAGCGAACAGG
This 253-nucleotide ribosomal RNA is filed under the name uncultured bacterium. Its description in RNAcentral is "partial 16S ribosomal RNA". It matches the Rfam family "Bacterial small subunit ribosomal RNA", at positions 524 to 776 of the family's 1533-position model. The record is from RNAcentral.